GCUUAGCCCUAAACACAGAUAAUUACAUAAACAAAAUUAUUUGCCAGAGUACUACCAGACA
Molecule: ribosomal RNA, 61 nt
Filed under: Chordata environmental sample
Lineage: Eukaryota; Metazoa; Chordata
Description: partial 12S ribosomal RNA
Source: RNAcentral